CGCGUAGGCGGCUUGUCAAGUCAGGGGUGAAAUCCUGCAGCUCAACUGUAGAAGUGCCUUUGAUACUGACGAGCUCGAGGGAGGUAGGGGUCGCUGGAACUUCUGGUGGAGCGGUGAAAUGCGUUGAUAUCAGAAGGAACGCCGGUGGCGAAAGCGAGCGACUGGAUCUCUACUGACGCUGAGGCGCGAAAGCUAGGGAGCAAACG
RNAcentral lists this ribosomal RNA (206 nucleotides) under uncultured bacterium. RNAcentral describes it as "partial 16S ribosomal RNA". It matches the Rfam family "Bacterial small subunit ribosomal RNA", at positions 568 to 774 of the family's 1533-position model. The record is from RNAcentral.